ACGGCUCAGUAACACGUGGAUAACUUGCCCUUGGGUCCGGGAUAACCCCUGAGAAAUUGGGGACAAUACCGGAUAGGGCAUCGAUUGCUGGAAUGCACGAUGUCCAAAAGCUGAGGCGCCCAAGGAUAGGUCUGCGGCCGAUUAGGUUGUUGUUGAUGUAAUGGAUCAACAAGCCUGCAAUCGGUACGGGUUGUGAGAGCAAGAGCCCGGAGAUGGGUUCUGAGAAAAGAACCCAGGUCCUACGGGACGCAUCAGGCGCGAAAACUUUACAAUGUGCGAAAGCACGAUAAGGGAACUCUGAGUGCCUCCUAUGGAGGCUGUUCAGGUGUCUAAAAAGCACUUGAAGUAAGGGCUGGGUAAGACCGGUGCCAGCCGCCGCGGUAACACCGGCAGCCCAAGUGGUAGCCACGAUUAUUGGGUCUAAAGCGUCCGUAGCCGGCCAGGUAAGUUCUUUGGGAAAUUUAACCGCUCAACGGUUAAGCUUUCAGGGAAUACUGCUUGGCUUGGGACCGGGAGAGGUCAGAGGUACUUCAAGGGUAGGGGUGAAAUCCGUUAAUCCUUGAGGGACCACCAGUAGCGAAGGCGUCUGACCAGACCGGGUCCGACGGUGAGGGACGAAGGCUAGGGUCGCGAACCGGAUUAGAUACCCGGGUAGUCCUAGCUGUAAACGAUGCGGGCCAGGUGUUGGCAUUACUGCGAGUGAUGUCAGUGCCGAAGGGAAGCCGUUAAGCCCGCCAUCUGGGGAGUACGGUCGCAAGGCUGAAACUUAAAGGAAUUGGCGGGGGAGCACCACAACGGGUGGAGCCUGC
This 809-nucleotide ribosomal RNA is filed under the name uncultured archaeon. Its description in RNAcentral is "bacterial SSU rRNA". It matches the Rfam family "Archaeal small subunit ribosomal RNA", at positions 85 to 898 of the family's 1478-position model. The record is from RNAcentral.